AGAGUUUGAUCCUGGCUCAGGAUGAACGCUAGCGACAGGCUUAACACAUGCAAGUCGAGGGGCAGCGGGUAGAUGAGCUUGCUCAUUUAUGCCGGCGACCGGCGCACGGGUGAGUAACACGUAUGCAACCUGCCCUUUACAGCGGGAUAACCGGAAGAAAUUCCGCCUAAUACCGCAUACUCCCUUAGAAGGACAUCCUUUUGAGGGGAAAGAACUUCGGUAAAGGAUGGGCAUGCGGCGCAUUAGUUAGUUGGCGGUGUAACGGACCACCAAGACGACGAUGCGUAGGGGUUCUGAGAGGAAGGUCCCCCACACUGGUACUGAGACACGGACCAGACUCCUACGGGAGGCAGCAGUGAGGAAUAUUGGUCAAUGGCCGGGAGGCUGAACCAGCCAAGUCGCGUGAGGGAUGACGGUCCUAUGGAUUGUAAACCUCUUUUGUCAGGGAGCAAAGUCACCCACGUGUGGGUGUUGGAGAGUACCUGAAGAAAAAGCAUCGGCUAACUCCGUGCCAGCAGCCGCGGUAAUACGGAGGAUGCGAGCGUUAUCCGGAUUUAUUGGGUUUAAAGGGUGCGUAGGCGGUCCGGAAAGUCAGCGGUAAAAGCCCGGGGCUCAACCCCGGCGAGCCGUUGAAACUGUCGGACUAGAGACGGCGAGAAGUACGCGGAAUGCGCGGUGUAGCGGUGAAAUGCAUAGAUAUCGCGC
This 705-nucleotide ribosomal RNA is filed under the name uncultured bacterium. RNAcentral describes it as "bacterial SSU rRNA". It matches the Rfam family "Bacterial small subunit ribosomal RNA", at positions 8 to 702 of the family's 1533-position model. The record is from RNAcentral.